RNAcentral lists this ribosomal RNA (1449 nucleotides) under Escherichia coli. RNAcentral describes it as "bacterial LSU rRNA". It matches the Rfam family "Bacterial large subunit ribosomal RNA", at positions 1519 to 2925 of the family's 2925-position model. Lineage: Bacteria; Pseudomonadati; Pseudomonadota; Gammaproteobacteria; Enterobacterales; Enterobacteriaceae. RNAcentral also lists the same sequence under 1 other name. The record is from RNAcentral.
UGUAGGCUGGUUUUCCAGGCAAAUCCGGAAAAUCAAGGCUGAGGCGUGAUGACGAGGCACUACGGUGCUGAAGCAACAAAUGCCCUGCUUCCAGGAAAAGCCUCUAAGCAUCAGGUAACAUCAAAUCGUACCCCAAACCGACACAGGUGGUCAGGUAGAGAAUACCAAGGCGCUUGAGAGAACUCGGGUGAAGGAACUAGGCAAAAUGGUGCCGUAACUUCGGGAGAAGGCACGCUGAUAUGUAGGUGAAGUCCCUCGCGGAUGGAGCUGAAAUCAGUCGAAGAUACCAGCUGGCUGCAACUGUUUAUUAAAAACACAGCACUGUGCAAACACGAAAGUGGACGUAUACGGUGUGACGCCUGCCCGGUGCCGGAAGGUUAAUUGAUGGGGUCAGCGCAAGCGAAGCUCUUGAUCGAAGCCCCGGUAAACGGCGGCCGUAACUAUAACGGUCCUAAGGUAGCGAAAUUCCUUGUCGGGUAAGUUCCGACCUGCACGAAUGGCGUAAUGAUGGCCAGGCUGUCUCCACCCGAGACUCAGUGAAAUUGAACUCGCUGUGAAGAUGCAGUGUACCCGCGGCAAGACGGAAAGACCCCGUGAACCUUUACUAUAGCUUGACACUGAACAUUGAGCCUUGAUGUGUAGGAUAGGUGGGAGGCUUUGAAGUGUGGACGCCAGUCUGCAUGGAGCCGACCUUGAAAUACCACCCUUUAAUGUUUGAUGUUCUAACGUGGACCCGUGAUCCGGGUUGCGGACAGUGUCUGGUGGGUAGUUUGACUGGGGCGGUCUCCUCCUAAAGAGUAACGGAGGAGCACGAAGGUUGGCUAAUCCUGGUCGGACAUCAGGAGGUUAGUGCAAUGGCAUAAGCCAGCUUGACUGCGAGCGUGACGGCGCGAGCAGGUGCGAAAGCAGGUCAUAGUGAUCCGGUGGUUCUGAAUGGAAGGGCCAUCGCUCAACGGAUAAAAGGUACUCCGGGGAUAACAGGCUGAUACCGCCCAAGAGUUCAUAUCGACGGCGGUGUUUGGCACCUCGAUGUCGGCUCAUCACAUCCUGGGGCUGAAGUAGGUCCCAAGGGUAUGGCUGUUCGCCAUUUAAAGUGGUACGCGAGCUGGGUUUAGAACGUCGUGAGACAGUUCGGUCCCUAUCUGCCGUGGGCGCUGGAGAACUGAGGGGGGCUGCUCCUAGUACGAGAGGACCGGAGUGGACGCAUCACUGGUGUUCGGGUUGUCAUGCCAAUGGCACUGCCCGGUAGCUAAAUGCGGAAGAGAUAAGUGCUGAAAGCAUCUAAGCACGAAACUUGCCCCGAGAUGAGUUCUCCCUGACCCUUUAAGGGUCCUGAAGGAACGUUGAAGACGACGACGUUGAUAGGCCGGGUGUGUAAGCGCAGCGAUGCGUUGAGCUAACCGGUACUAAUGAACCGUGAGGCUUAACCUUACAACGCCGAAGGUGUUU